This is a long non-coding RNA of Syngnathoides biaculeatus (alligator pipefish), 1112 nucleotides long. RefSeq lists it as uncharacterized. Lineage: Eukaryota; Metazoa; Chordata; Actinopteri; Syngnathiformes; Syngnathidae. The transcript has 3 exons. The record is from RefSeq and is a predicted model, not a curated record.
UUUCAAUGCUGUUGACUGUCUGCGUGAUAACCUCUCAUGUUCACAAUGCCAACAAAGCGCUGUGCUGAUGCGAAAGCUUCCUCUGGAGUGCCCGAAAAGAAGAGGAAGAUGAUGCUGAUCAGCGAAAAAGACCCAGCAGGAAAGACUCGGCAUCGCCAGGAACGAUGCCAGGCAAACCGCCUGCCAGAGGACCAAGCAUAUCCUAUCCAGCUCCCAAGUGCCUUUGCCUAGUAGGUCCAGGUCCUCGUCUUCCAAUCCUUUUUUGGGAACCCGCUUGGCCACCCUGGUACUUGGUGUCCGUGUCGACCUCCUGAGCUGCCCAGCCGGAUGCCUCGCUUCUGGUGGCCUGGACGGCCACCAGACAGACUUUGAUUGGGGUUACAUUAUCUUGUUAUUGCUUAUGAUAUUGCAUUUUAAUAGUCUAUGAAAAUGUACAGCAUUUUUGCAAACCCUUGUAUUCACACACGCCAUGACAUUCUUCUUCUUUUUCUUUCGGCUUGUCCCGUUAGGGGUUGCCACAGCGUGUCAUCUUUUUCCAGGUAUUCCCAUCUCGUGCAUCUUCCUCUCUAACACCCACUGUCCUCAUAUCCUCCCACUGUUUCCACAGUUCUGAACAUCGCCUUUGUUGUUAAAAAUGGGGACUAGCACACUUUUCCUCCAUUCUUCUGGCAUCUUCACUCUGGCUGGUAUUCUAUUGAACAAGUUGGUCAAAAACUCCACAUCCACCUCACCAAAUUGCUUUCAUACUUCUACCGGUAUGUCAUUGGGUCCAACUGUCUUUCCAUUUUUCAUUCUGUACAAUGCCUUUUUGACUUUUCCCUUACUAAUCAUUGCCACUUCCCGGUCAUUCACUCUCACCUCUUCUACUCUACCUUCUCUCCCAUUUUCGUCAUUCAUUAACUUCUCAAGGAACUCUUUCCAUCUACUUAGCACACUACUUGCACCAGUCAACAUAUCUUCAUCACUAUCCUUAAUCACCUUUACUUGCUGCACUUCCUUCCGAUUAUAUACAGUAAUACCAUCCUCCAGAUGCUAUAUUGUGCCUGUUAUGUUCUUCCUUUAUCUCUCCCCAUGCCUUUUCUUUCAUCCUGCUCUGUUUGUGAUCCACUUAA